AGAUUGAACGCUGGCGGCAGGCCUAACACAUGCAAGUCGAGCGGCAGCACGGGUACUUGUACCUGGUGGCGAGCGGCGGACGGGUGAGUAAUGCCUAGGAAUCUGCCUGGUAGUGGGGGAUAACGCUCGGAAACGGACGCUAAUACCGCAUACGUCCUACGGGAGAAAGCAGGGGACCUUCGGGCCUUGCGCUAUCAGAUGAGCCUAGGUCGGAUUAGCUAGUUGGUGGGGUAAUGGCUCACCAAGGCGACGGAUCCGUAACUGGUCUGAGAGGAUGAUCAGUCACACUGGAACUGAGACACGGUCCAGACUCCUACGGAGGCAGCAGUGGGGAAUAUUGGACAAUGGGCGAAAGCCUGAUCCAGCCAUGCCGCGUGUGUGAAGAAGGUCUUCGGAUUGUAAGCACUUUAAGUGGAGAAGGCGAAGUUACCUAAUACGUAUCUAGUUUUGACGUUACCGACUAGAAUUAAGCAACCGCUAACUCUGUGCCUAGCAA
Molecule: ribosomal RNA, 496 nt
Filed under: uncultured soil bacterium
Lineage: Bacteria
Description: bacterial SSU rRNA
Rfam family: Bacterial small subunit ribosomal RNA
Source: RNAcentral